CCUUGGUCACCUGCCUCUGCACCGAUCGAUGCACACACACGCACACAUACGAGAUCGAUCGACGCGGGUUGAUUGUCGCGGCUAAUGCGAACUCUGCGGUGUGUUGCUGAAUUUGGUGUGUGUUAGUAAGUGUGGAGUAGUGGUACUAGGAAGGAAGGAAGGAAUGAUGGAUGUGUGCUGGUGAAGGAAGGAAGGAAGGAAGAUUGUUGGUUGGACAGCUACCACUUAACAGUUUGAUUAGAAGUAGUAGCAGCAGCUUAGAGAGUGUGCGUGCGGUGGGGCCACGGGCUUAGUUUUUUUUUCUGAGCAGGCAACAUGUGAACUACCUGGCCGGCAGCCACCCUGGCUGACGCUGACAGGCCGGGCCCACACCCACAGCCAGCCCCCCUAACGAACUGCUCCACUCCACCC
Molecule: long non-coding RNA, 411 nt
Filed under: Hordeum vulgare
Lineage: Eukaryota; Viridiplantae; Streptophyta; Magnoliopsida; Poales; Poaceae
Description: long non-coding RNA (HVUL_LNC002497)
Source: RNAcentral